GAUGAAGAACGCAGCGAAAUGCGAUACUUGGUGUGAAUUGCAGAAUCCCGUGAACCAUCGAGUCUUUGAACGCAAGUUGCGCCUCAAGCCAUUAGGUUGAGGGCACGUCUGCCUGGGCGUCACAUAUCGUUGCCUGAUGCCAGUUUCCUCGUGAUGGGUGACUGUGCAGGGCGAAUGAUGGCUUCCCGUGAGCAUUGUUGCCUCAUGGUUGGUUGAAAAUUGAGUCCCUGGUAGGGAGCGCCGUGAUAGAUGGUGGUUGAGUGACGAACGAGACCCAAUCAUGUGAGACCCCUACCGAAUUUGGCCUUCAUGACCCACAUGCGUCUUUGGAACGCUCAUGACGAGACCUCAGGUCAGGCGGGGCUACCCGCUGAGUUUAAGCAUAUCAAUAAGCGGAGGA
Molecule: unclassified non-coding RNA, 400 nt
Filed under: soil metagenome
Description: partial contains 5.8S ribosomal RNA, internal transcribed spacer 2, and large subunit ribosomal RNA
Rfam family: 5.8S ribosomal RNA (bases 1-122)
Source: RNAcentral